Molecule: small RNA, 687 nt
Filed under: Pongo abelii (Sumatran orangutan)
Lineage: Eukaryota; Metazoa; Chordata; Mammalia; Primates; Hominidae
Description: processed transcript
Source: RNAcentral
GGCCAGCGCUAGUCGGUCUGGUAAGUGCCUGAUGCCGAGUUCUGUGUCUCGCGUCUUUUCCUGGUCCCAGGCAAAGCGGAGCGGAGAUCCUCAAACGGCCUAGUGCUUCGCGCCUCCGGAGAAAAUCAGCGGUCUAAUUAAUUCCUCUGGAUUUACAAAAGGUGCAGGUAUGAGCAGAUCUGAAGACUAACAUUUUGUGAACUUGUAAAACAGAAAACCUGUUUGAAAUGUGGUGGUUUCAGCAAGGCCUCAGUUUCCUUCCUUCAGCCCUUGUAAUUUGGACAUCUGCUGCUUUCAUAUUUUCAUACAUUACUGCAGUAACACUCCACCACGUAGACCCGGCUUUACCUUAUAUCAGUGAUACUGGUACAGUAGCUCCAGAAAAAUGCUUAUUUGGGGCAAUGCUAAAUAUUGCGGCAGUUUUAUGCCAAAAAUAGAAAUCAGGAAGAUAAUUCAACUUAAGUUCAUUUCAUGACCAAAGUCUUCAGAAACAUGUCUUUACAAGCAUAUCUCUGUAAUGCUUUCUACACUGUUGAAUUGUCUGGCAAUAUUUCUGCAGUGGAAAAUUUGAUUUAGCUAGUUCUUGACCAAUAAAUAUGGUAAGGUGUGCUUUUCCCCCUGUGUAAUUGGCUACUAUCUAUGUCUUAUUGAGCCAAGUUGUAAUUUGAAAUAAAAUGAUAUGAGAGU